AGGCAUUCAGGCAGCGAGAGCAGAGCAGCGUAGAGCAGCACAGCUGAGCUCGUGAGGCAGGAGACUCAGCCCGAGGAAAUCGCAGAUAAGUUUUUAAUUAAAAAGAUUGAGCAGUAAAAAGAAUUAGAACUCUAAACUUAAGCUAAUAGAGUAGCUUAUCGAAAUAUUACUUAGUCUUAAUAAUCUAAGAAGAUCUUAAGAGAUAACAUGAAGGCUUAUUUAAACAGUUUGAAAAAGGAAAUGAGGAGAAAAGUAUUUGUACUGUAUAAUGGAGGCUGACCAGAGCAGUUUAGGAGAUUGUAAAGGGAGGUUUUGUGAAGUUCUAAAAGGUUCUAGUUUGAAGGUCGGCCUUGUAGAUUAAAACGAAGGUUACCUAAAUAGAAUCUAAGUGGCAUUUAAAACAGUAAAGUUGUAGAGAAUAGUUUGAAAAUGAGGUGUAGUUUUAAAAGAUUGAGAAAAGUAGGUUAAGUUGACGGCCGUUAUAAAAAUCCUUCGACUGGCGCAUGUACGUUUGAAGGCAUGAGUUGGAAACAGGGAAGAUGGAAGUGUUAGGCUAGCCGGGCGAUGGUGGCGCACGCCUUUAAUCCUAGCACUUGGGAGGCAGAGGCAGGCGGAUUUCUGAGUUCGAGGCCAGCCUGGUCUACAGAGUGAGUUCCAGGACAGCCAGGGCUACACAGAGAAACCCUGUCUUGAAAAAACAAAAAGGUUAGGCUAGUAUUUGGAGAAAGAAGAUUAGAAAAUGGAAGUGAAAGACGAAGAAGACAUACAGGAAGGUGAAGAAAAAGCUGUUAGAGAAGAUAGGAAAAUAGAAGACAAAGCAUCUUUAGAAGACAGAAAAGCUGACCCAGGUCUACACAGAAGUGCAUUCAGUGAACUAGGAAGACAGGAGCGGCAGACAGGAGUCCCGAAGCCAGUUUGGUGAAGCUAGGAAGGACUGAGGAGCCAGCAGCAGCAGUGCAUGGUGAAGAUAGCCCAGGAAAGAGUGCGGUUCGGUGGAGGAAGCUAGGAAGAAGGAGCCAUACGGAUGUGGUGGUGAAGCUGGGAAAGGGUUCCAGGAUGGUGGAGCGAGAGCGAGUUGGUGAUGAAGCUAGCUGGCGGCUUGGCUUGUCAACUGCGCGGAGGAGGCGAGCAGGCAUUGUGGAGAGGAUAGAUAGCGGCUCCUAGACCAGCAUGCCAGUGUGCAAGAAAGGAGAACCUCAGGAGCUUGGCUAGGCCAGAGGUUGAAGUUAAGUUUUACAGCACCGUGAUUUAAAAUAUUUCAUUAAAGGGGAGGGGUAAAACUUAGUUGGCUGUGGCCUUGUGUUUGGGUGGGUGGGGGUGUUAGGUAAUUGUUUAGUUUAUGAUUUCAGAUAAUCAUACCAGAGAACUUAAAUAUUUGGAAAAACAGGAAAUCUCAGCUUUCAAGUUGGCAAGUAACUCCCAAUCCAGUUUUUGCUUCUUUUUUCCUUUUUCUUUUUUUGAGGCGGGCAGCUAAGGAAGGUUGGUUCCUCUGCCGGUCCCUCGAAAGCGUAGGGCUUGGGGGUUGGUCUGGUCCACUGGGAUGAUGUGAUGCUACAGUGGGGACUCUUCUGAAGCUGUUGGAUGAAUAUAGAUUGUAGUGUGUGGUUCUCUUUUGAAAUUUUUUUCAGGUGACUUAAUGUAUCUUAAUAACUACUAUAGGAACAAAGGAAGUGGCUUUAAUGACCCUGAAGGAAUUUCUUCUGGUGAUAGCUUUUAUAUUAUCAAGUAAGAGAUACUAUCUCAGUUUUGUAUAAGCAAGUCUUUUUCCUAGUGUAGGAGAAAUGAUUUUCCUUGUGACUAAACAAGAUGUAAAGGUAUGCUUUUUUUCUUCUUGUGCAUUGUAUACUUGUGUUUAUUUGUAACUUAUAAUUUAAGAAUUAUGAUAAUUCAGCCUGAAUGUCUUUUAGAGGGUGG
This 1914-nucleotide long non-coding RNA is filed under the name Mus musculus (house mouse). Its description in RNAcentral is "metastasis associated lung adenocarcinoma transcript 1 (non-coding RNA)". Lineage: Eukaryota; Metazoa; Chordata; Mammalia; Rodentia; Muridae. The record is from RNAcentral.